RNAcentral lists this ribosomal RNA (479 nucleotides) under uncultured bacterium. RNAcentral describes it as "partial 16S ribosomal RNA". It matches the Rfam family "Bacterial small subunit ribosomal RNA", at positions 28 to 507 of the family's 1533-position model. The record is from RNAcentral.
GACGAACGCUGGCGGCGCGCUUAACACAUGCAAGUCGAGCGAUGAAAUUUCGACAGAUCCCUUCGGGGUGAAGAUGAAAUGGAUUAGCGGCGGACGGGUGAGUAACACGUGAGUAACCUGCCUUUGACAUUGGGAUAGCCUCGGGAAACUGGGAUUAAUACCAAAUGACACUAACUGAUCACAUGAUCAAUUAGUCAAAGAAAUUCGGUCAAAGAUGGACUCGCGGCUGAUUAGCUAGUUGGUGAGGUAACGGCCCACCAAGGCGACGAUCAGUAGCCGGCCUGAGAGGGUGAUCGGCCACAUUGGAACUGAGACACGGUCCAAACUCCUACGGGAGGCAGCAGUGGGGAAUAUUGCACAAGGGGGGAAACCCUGAUGCAGCGACGCCGCGUGAGCGAAGAAGGCCUUCGGAUCGUAAAGCUCUUUUAUGAGGGAAGAUAAUGACGGUACCUCAAGAAAAAGCCCCGGCUAACUACGUG